Molecule: ribosomal RNA, 450 nt
Filed under: uncultured bacterium
Lineage: Bacteria
Description: partial 16S ribosomal RNA
Rfam family: Bacterial small subunit ribosomal RNA
Source: RNAcentral
GUGGGGAAUCUUCCGCAAUGGACGAAAGUCUGACGGAGCGACGCCGCGUGAGUGAAGAAGGCCUUCGGGUCGUAAAGCUCUGUCAUCAGGGAAGAACGGCCGGUGGAGUGGAAAGCCACCGGAUUGACGGUACCUGAGAAGGAAGCCACGGCUAACUACGUGCCAGCAGCCGCGGUCAUACGUAGGUGGCAAGCGUUGUCCGGAAUUAUUGGGCGUAAAGCGCGCGCAGGUGGGAUCUUAAGUCCAUUUUUAAAGUUCGGAGCUCAACUCCGUGAUGGGAUGGAAACUGGGAUUCUUGAGUACCGGAGAGGAAAGCGGAAUUCCCCGUGUAGCGGUGAAAUGCGUAGAUAUGGGGAGGAACACCAGUGGCGAAGGCGGCUUUCUGGACGGUGUCUGACACUGAGGCGCGAAAGCCAGGGGAGCGAACGGGAUUAGAAACCCUUGUAGUCC